CUUGUGGUGUAUGAAUGAAAGAUUAGAUGUUAAUGUCAAUGAGACAGCAACCAUUCAAUGAAAGAGGUCAACAUUGUAUUCAACCAAUGAAAACUUUGUACUUAUUAAUGAGCAACACAAGUGCCACAUGUGGAGCACCUGAGAUAACCCCUAACUUUUGAUGGGUUAAUGGGCAACACAAGUGCCACAUGUGGAGCACCUGAGAUAACCCCCAACUUUUGAUGGGUUUCCUGUUGCUCAGUCUUUAAU
Molecule: long non-coding RNA, 249 nt
Filed under: Mytilus galloprovincialis (Mediterranean mussel)
Lineage: Eukaryota; Metazoa; Mollusca; Bivalvia; Mytilida; Mytilidae
Source: RNAcentral